UGCCAGCAGCGCGGUAAUACGGAGGGGGUUAGCGCUGUUCGGAAUUAUUGGGCGUAAAGCGCGUGUAGGCGGUUCGUUAAGUCUGAUGUGAAAGCCCGGGGCUCAACCCCGGAAGUGCGUUGGAUACUGGCAGUCUUGAGUAUGGGAGAGGAAAGUGGAAUUCCGAGUGUAGGAGUGAAAUCCGUAGAUAUUCGGAGGAACACCAGUGGCGAAGGCGGCUUUCUGGACCAAUACUGACGCUGAGAUGCGAAAGCGUGGGGAGCGAACAGGAUUAGAUA
This 278-nucleotide ribosomal RNA is filed under the name uncultured bacterium. RNAcentral's name for it is "partial 16S ribosomal RNA". It matches the Rfam family "Bacterial small subunit ribosomal RNA", at positions 506 to 784 of the family's 1533-position model. The record is from RNAcentral.